RNAcentral lists this ribosomal RNA (253 nucleotides) under uncultured bacterium. RNAcentral describes it as "partial 16S ribosomal RNA". It matches the Rfam family "Bacterial small subunit ribosomal RNA", at positions 524 to 776 of the family's 1533-position model. The record is from RNAcentral.
UACAGAGGUCCCAAGCGUUGUUCGGAUUCAUUGGGCGUAAAGGGUGCGUAGGCGGUCGGGUAAGUCUGAUGUGAAAUCUCACAGCUUAACUGUGAAACUGCAUUGGAUACUAUUCGGCUAGAGAGUUGGAGGGGGGACUGGAAUUCUUGGUGUAGCAGUGAAAUGCGUAGAUAUCAAGAGGAACACCAGUGGCGAAGGCGAGUCCCUGGACAACUUCUGACGCUGAGGCACGAAAGCUAGGGGAGCAAACAGG